Molecule: long non-coding RNA, 989 nt
Filed under: Pogona vitticeps (central bearded dragon)
Lineage: Eukaryota; Metazoa; Chordata; Lepidosauria; Squamata; Agamidae
Description: lncRNA (ENSPVIG00000017108.1)
Source: RNAcentral
GCACACCUUGUUUUAAGUAACAAGAUGAGCUUUCUGAAAACUGGAAGUGGACUUCCCAUAAUUUCCACUGCUGAAUUGCAGUAGCACAUGGCCGAUUCUCCUGGGAGUGGGACGGAUGUCUUCGGCUGGUCAAAGUUGCCCAACCUCUUUCUCCCAUCUUGUUCCAUCAUGUGAUGCCCAGCAUAUGUUCGAAAUGUUAGUAAGUUCAUCUCACAGCGUCAGAGCUCUUUUGUGGGAUGUGGAAGUAACAGCCACAGUGAAAAGGAAAUGACCUAAAUGCACCAUAACCAGCUUGCCUUGCAAGCCACCAAAGGACCACUAGGUGGGGGACCAUGUCUGUUACGGGCGCCUUGCUCUUAAAUACCUGCCCAAGCGGCCGGUAUCUGAGUCUGGCCACAACACCGCUUCCAGGAGGUGUAGUCCCCCCCAAAAAAGUAACUUCUCCCAGUUCUGGAAUUCAAUCCCAGCAGUGGUAAUGUCUCUUCUGUGCUGUGUCUGUCCACCACAGGAAGUGAUAGAAGAGGAGCCAUCCGGGUCAUUCUCCAUUACGAUCCUUCACCAGGCCAUGAUCACAGUCACUUGCAUGACUCCCUUGAAGCCCCCGCUGGACUCAGAGGUGAGAUCUGAGCUGGUGAGUAAAAGCGUCAAGAAAGUGUUCUCUCUGCCAUCCCUGAAAGUGACGAAGCUAAAAGCAGGCAUGCCCAUGCAUCCGAUCCAGACACAGGAUUUUUACCACCAGACGGUCGUGGCCUGCCACAACAUGCUCACCGGGUUGCUGUCGGAGGCCCCCAAUUUGGAGUCGCUGCAGGACAUCUUGAUACACACAAACAUCUGGAUAGACUCCCCAAAGAACUACGAGCGGGAAAGGGCUAUUAGGGGCACGAGUCACCUCCUGAAGUUUGCCUCGGAACACUUGGAAUUUGAUGUGAGUGAAAGCCUGAGGUGACACACGCACACACACGUGCAUGCGCUUGCACGCGCACAUGCAC